UACGGAGGGAGCUAGCGUUGUUCGGAUAUACUGGGCGUAAAGCGCACGUAGGCGGCGCCGUAAGUCAGGGGUGAAAUCCCGGAGCUCAACUCCGGAACUGCCCUUGAAACUGCAGUGCUAGAAUCUUGGAGAGGCGAGUGGAAUUCCGAGUGUAGAGGUGAAAUUCGUAGAUAUUCGGAAGAACACCAGUGGCGAAGGCGACUCGCUGGACAAGUAUUGACGCUGAGGUGCGAAAGCGUGGGGAGCGAACAGG
This 253-nucleotide ribosomal RNA is filed under the name uncultured bacterium. Its description in RNAcentral is "partial 16S ribosomal RNA". It matches the Rfam family "Bacterial small subunit ribosomal RNA", at positions 524 to 776 of the family's 1533-position model. The record is from RNAcentral.